This 465-nucleotide ribosomal RNA is filed under the name uncultured bacterium. RNAcentral describes it as "partial 16S ribosomal RNA". It matches the Rfam family "Bacterial small subunit ribosomal RNA", at positions 28 to 507 of the family's 1533-position model. The record is from RNAcentral.
GACGAACGCUGGCGGCGUGCUUAACACAUGCAAGUCGAACGGAAAGGCCCUGCUUGCAGGGUACUCGAGUGGCGAACGGGUGAGUAACACGUGGGUGAUCUGCCCUGCACUUCGGGAUAAGCCUGGGAAACUGGGUCUAAUACCGGAUAUGACCUUCCAUGUAGUGUGGGGGGUGGAAAGAUUUAUCGGUGUGGGAUGAGCCCGCGGCCUAUCAGCUUGUUGGUGGGGUAAUGGCCUACCAAGGCGUCGACGGGUAGCCGGCCUGAGAGGGUGGACGGCCACAUUGGGCCUGAGAUACGGCCCAGACUCCUACGGGAGGCAGCAGUGGGGAAUAUUGCACAAUGGGCGGAAGCCUUAUGCAGCGACGCCGCGUGGGGGAUGACAGCCUUCGGGUUGUAAACCUCUUUCGACAGGGACGAAGCUUCGGUGACGGUACCUGUAUAAGAAGCACCGGCUAACUACGUG